RNAcentral lists this ribosomal RNA (421 nucleotides) under uncultured bacterium. RNAcentral's name for it is "bacterial SSU rRNA". It matches the Rfam family "Bacterial small subunit ribosomal RNA", at positions 358 to 771 of the family's 1533-position model. The record is from RNAcentral.
GGAAUCUUCCACAAUGGACGAAAGUCUGAUGGAGCAACGCCGCGUGAGCGAAGAAGGUUUUCGGAUCGUAAAACUCUGUUGUCAGAGAAGGACGUGUGUGAGAGUAACUGUUCACGCAGUGACGGUAUCUGACUAGAAAGUCCCGGCUAACUACGUGCCAGCAGCCGCGGUAAUACGUAGGUGGCAAGCGUUGUCCGGAUUUAUUGGGCGUAAAGGGAACGCAGGCGGUCUUUUAAGUCUGAUGUGAAAGCCUUCGGCUUAACCGAAGUCGGGCAUUGGAAACUGGGAGACUUGAGUGCAGAAGAGGAGAGUGGAACUCCAUGUGUAGCGGUGAAAUGCGUAGAUAUAUGGAAGAACACCAGUGGCGAAAGCGGCUCUCUGGUCUGUAACUGACGCUGAGGUUCGAAAGCGUGGGUAGCAA